This 73-nucleotide transfer RNA is filed under the name Oryzias latipes (Japanese medaka). RNAcentral's name for it is "tRNA-Tyr (GTA) (tRNA-Tyr-GTA-3-1, tRNA-Tyr-GTA-3-2)". It matches the Rfam family "tRNA". Rfam says of the family: Transfer RNA (tRNA) molecules are approximately 80 nucleotides in length. Their secondary structure includes four short double-helical elements and three loops (D, anti-codon, and T loops). Lineage: Eukaryota; Metazoa; Chordata; Actinopteri; Beloniformes; Adrianichthyidae. The record is from RNAcentral.
CCUUCGAUAGCUCAGUUGGUAGAGCGGAGGACUGUAGAUCCUUAGGUCGCUGGUUCAAUUCUGGCUCGAAGGA